This 253-nucleotide ribosomal RNA is filed under the name uncultured bacterium. RNAcentral describes it as "partial 16S ribosomal RNA". It matches the Rfam family "Bacterial small subunit ribosomal RNA", at positions 524 to 776 of the family's 1533-position model. The record is from RNAcentral.
UACGUAGGUGGCAAGCGUUGUCCGGAUUUACUGGGCGUAAAGGGCGUGCAGGCGGUCUGUUAAGUUCAGGGUGAAAGCUCCCGGCUCAACUGGGAGAGGUCCUUGGAUACUGGCAGACUUGAGGGAGGUAGAGGAGAGUGGAAUUCCCGGUGUAGUGGUGAUAUGCGUAGAUAUCGGGAGGAACACCAGUGGCGAAGGCGGCUCUCUGGGCCUUUCCUGACGCUGAGACGCGAAAGCGUGGGGAGCGAACAGG